RNAcentral lists this ribosomal RNA (419 nucleotides) under bacterium. Its description in RNAcentral is "partial 16S ribosomal RNA". It matches the Rfam family "Bacterial small subunit ribosomal RNA", at positions 355 to 776 of the family's 1533-position model. The record is from RNAcentral.
UGGGGGAUAUUGCACAAUGGGCGAAAGCCUGAUGCAGCGACGCCGCGUGGGGGAUGAAGGCCUUCGGGUUGUAAACUUCUUUUGCUCUGAACAAGGCAUGCUAAUGGGUGUGUUGAGUGUAGGGGUUGAUUAGCGCCGGCUAACUACGUGCCAGCAGCCGCGGUAAUACGUAGGGCGCGAGCGUUGUCCGGAAUUAUUGGGCGUAAAGGGCUUGUAGGUGGCUGGUUGCGUCUGUCGUGAAAGCUCAUGGCUUAACUGUGGGUUUGCGGUGGGUACGGGCUGGCUUGAGUGCAGUAGGGGAGGCUGGAAUUCCUGGUGUAGCGGUGGAAUGCGCAGAUAUCAGGAGGAAUACCGGUGGCGAAGGCGGGUCUCUGGACUGUUACUGACACUGAGGAGCGAAAGCAUGGGGAGCGAACAGG